CUGAAAGUGACUGUAACUGGGAGGAACCAUGAAGACAUCCACAGGAGCUUUAAUCAUAUUCUCGUGGCUGCAGCUGAACUGGUUCAGCCAAGGAGAGAAGGUGGAGCAGCAUCCUUCUACCCUGAGUGUGCAGCAGGGAAGCAGCUCUGUUAUCAACUGCAGUUAUUCAGACAGUGCCUCAGAGUACUUCCCUUGGUAUAAGCAAGAGUUUGGAAAAGGUCCCCAGCUCCUUCUAUACAUUCGUUCAACCAUGGCCACAAAAGAACACCAAAGAUUCACUGUUUUAUUGAAUAGGACAGCCAAACAUCUCUCCCUGCACAUCGCAGACACCCAGCCCGAAGACUCAGCUGUGUACUUCUGCGCAGCAAGCACACAUUGCUUCCCAGGCACCUGCUACCUGCACUCAAACCUGGGUGUGGGGCAGCCCCUGUCCUUUGACACAGACCUUCAAGUAUAGUUUUUGUCCUUUUGUUUGUCUGCACGUGGAAACUAAUGUUUUAUCACUUUUUGAAAUUUAAACUCAAUUAGCCAACAAAUAGUACAUCAUUUGUUUCAGUUGUAGUGUUCAUUGAUUCAUCCAUUGCAUGUAACACCCAGUUCUCAUCACAUCACAUGCCCUCCUUAAUGCCUAUCACCCAGUUACCCCGGAAGCUAAUGUUUUAGACAUUAAAAGCGAAUUAUAUAACUAUUAGGAUGGAGGUGACCCAAAAAGGGUUAGAAUACUUUGUUGGAUGACUGUUGUUUAAUGGAUUCUUGAAUGGAGUUAGUAAUGUUUUAUUUUGAAAGUCAGGUAUUUUGGAACUCUACAUUUGCUAUUGAGACUCCUCUCCUAUAAAUAACCCCUAGUACCAGUUUUACAGUCGUUAUUAUCGAUGGGCACUUAAAUAUUGUGUU
This is a non-coding RNA of Zalophus californianus (California sea lion), 894 nucleotides long. The record is from the annotation of a RefSeq genome assembly. Lineage: Eukaryota; Metazoa; Chordata; Mammalia; Carnivora; Otariidae.